CCCGCCACUAUGCCUGUCUGACCCGGUGACUGAGUAUAAUCCAGUGGGGGCUCAGAUUGACCCGGCUUUAGGAAACAGAACCGUCCACACAAAUGGACUGCUCUGUGCCGAAAAGUCUGGAACAUCA
Molecule: small nucleolar RNA, 127 nt
Organism: Cynoglossus semilaevis (tongue sole)
Lineage: Eukaryota; Metazoa; Chordata; Actinopteri; Pleuronectiformes; Cynoglossidae
Product: small nucleolar RNA SNORA65
Source: Ensembl